CUGGAAAAAUCCUAGCCUUUGAAUUCUAGAGAAGGUGGAUUUGAGAAAUAUUUCCCCUCCUCCUUUCUUUGUCACCCUGCAAUUAUUAAACUCUUUCUCUGCUGCAACUUCUAUCUCAGACUACUGGAUUUUUCUGGUCAGCAGGCAAGAAGAACUCAUAUGGUCAACAAGAGAGCUGCAUUCCUUGUAUUUCUUGGCUCAUAGCCCCUUCCACUAUCUUCAAAGCCAGAGAAUAGCCUCUUCAAAAAUCUCUCUCUGCUUCUCCUUUCACAUUUGGACUCACCAAGACAAUCAAGAAUAAUCUUCCGUCUCAUGAUUCUGAUUUAAUCACAUCUGUGAAGUUCCUUUUGCUUAUCACAAUUGCUUAGUUUCUUUUUUCUUAAUAAAAAAUUAGUAUACUGGACAUGACUGAACAAAGAAUUACUGACUUUAUGGAUAUCUUAAUAUGAACUUCCAAAGCUGAAAAGUAAAGGGAAAAAAGAUUACCCAAAACUUCAAUAUCCAAGAACUGUGGGCACCUGCAAAAAGUGCAGCAUAUACGUAAUGGGAAUAUGAGAAAGAGGGAAAAAAUAAAAGAAACAGAAGAAACAUUUGAAACAAUGAUGGUGGACAAUUUACCAAGUUAAUGUCAGACAACAAACCACAAAUCCAGGAAAAUCAGAGAACACCAAGUAUGAUAAAUGAAAAGUAAAAUAAAAUAAAAAUAAAUAAACUACAUCCGGAUAUAUUAAAUUCAAACUAUAAUCAAAGACUUUUAAAAAAAUCUAGAAGGAAAUCACAUCUUAUUAUAGAGGAACAGAGGUUUUUCCAGUGGAGGACAAGAGAUAACUUGAGGGCCAACUACAGAACAGUAAGGACAGACUCAGAGGCGUGGAAUCUGCAUCCUCUGAGGGUAACGACUAAAAGAGAUGUCAGUGACAAUAGAGGAGAUUCUACCACAGCUGUCUGAAGCAAGUACUUUAAAAUGAAGCUUAGUAAUAAGAAAAAAAAAAAAAAAAAGGAAGACUACCCGA
Macaca mulatta (Rhesus monkey) is the source of this 1013-nucleotide non-coding RNA. Lineage: Eukaryota; Metazoa; Chordata; Mammalia; Primates; Cercopithecidae. The record is from RefSeq and is a predicted model, not a curated record.